Molecule: ribosomal RNA, 433 nt
Filed under: uncultured bacterium
Lineage: Bacteria
Description: partial 16S ribosomal RNA
Rfam family: Bacterial small subunit ribosomal RNA
Source: RNAcentral
AGCGAACGCUGGCGGCAGGCCUAACACAUGCAAGUCGAACGAACCUUUCGGGGUUAGUGGCGGACGGGUGAGUAACACGUGGGAACGUGCCUUUAGGUUCGGAAUAACUCAGGAAACUUUUGCUAAUACCGAAUGUGCCCUUCGGGGGAAAGAUUUAUCGCCUUUAGAGCGGCCCGCGUCUGAUUAGCUAGUUGGUUGAGGUAAUGGCUCACCAAGGCGACGAUCAGUAGCUGGUCUGAGAGGAUGAUCAGCCACAUUGGGACUGAGACACGGCCCAAACUCCUACGGGAGGCAGCAGUGGGGAAUCUUGCGCAAUGGGCGAAAGCCUGACGCAGCCAUGCCGCGUGAAUGAUGAAGGUCUUAGGAUUGUAAAAUUCUUUCACCGGGGACGAUAAUGACGGUACCCGGAGAAGAAGCCCCGGCUAACUUCGUG